This is a non-coding RNA of Caenorhabditis elegans, 144 nucleotides long. NCBI's taxonomy places the organism in Eukaryota, Metazoa, Nematoda, Chromadorea, Rhabditida, Rhabditidae. The record is from Ensembl.
AGGAGGGGAGAGGGCAAAAGUAGGCGUGUAAAUGAUAACUGUGAGGAGGAGAAGGAAAUAGGAGGAGGACGAAAAAGAAGACGACGACCGUUUCCUUUUCUCUCGCCCCCCCCCCCCCUGUCAUUUGUCCACACACACACACAC